Molecule: non-coding RNA, 96 nt
Filed under: Desulforamulus reducens
Lineage: Bacteria; Bacillati; Bacillota; Clostridia; Eubacteriales; Peptococcaceae
Also listed under: 1 other name
Description: Desulfotomaculum reducens Glycine sequence
Rfam family: Glycine riboswitch aptamer
About the family: This family represents the bacterial glycine riboswitch.
Source: RNAcentral
GGACAGGACUCUGGAGAGACCCAUAAUUGGGCGCCGAAGGUGCAAACAGCUUAUAAGAGCUGUAAAUCUCUCAGGCAAAAGGACAGAGGGUAGAAG